RNAcentral lists this ribosomal RNA (970 nucleotides) under Augosoma centaurus. RNAcentral describes it as "partial 16S ribosomal RNA". Lineage: Eukaryota; Metazoa; Arthropoda; Insecta; Coleoptera; Scarabaeidae. The record is from RNAcentral.
AGUAUAAUUUUCUCGAAUUGAGGAGAGCUAUAAUUUUAUAAAUUUAAUUGUAUUAAAUAUUUUUAUAAUAAAAUUAUAGUGAUGAAAUGUUAGUCGUUCCUUAGAAUAUCUAGUUACUAGAGAAAUAAAUUUAAUUUAGUUUUUUUUAUUCAUGAGUUAAUUUUAUAAUGAAGUGUUAAGAGAAAGUAAUAUUCUAAGGGAUAAGCUUUAGAAUAAAAUAUUAAAAAUAAGGUUUGUUUAAUUGAAAAUUUGUAGGAUUGGAAAUGUUUGUCAUUAGUUUGUUAUAAUUAAUUUUCUUUUUAAUAAGAUUUAUAUAAAAUUUAAAUGUUUUAUUUAGAGUAUAUAUUUAAUAUUUAUUUAUAUGGGAUAAUGAUAAAAUUAGUAUAAUGUAUUGUAUAAAAUAAUUUAGGAUAAAGGUUAGGGUAAGGAACUCGGCAAAUCUAUUUUCUGCCUGUUUAUUAAAAACAUGUCUUUUUGAGUAUAAUUUAAAGUCUAACCUGCCCAAUGAGGAGUUAAAUGGCCGCGGUAAUUUGACCGUGCAAAGGUAGCAUAAUCAUUAGUUUUUUAAUUGAAAGCUGGAAUGAAUGGUUGGACAAGAAAAUGGCUGUCUCACUUUAAUUGAAAAAUAGAAUUUUAUUUGUAAGUUAGAAAGCUUACAUGAUUUUAAAAGACGAGAAGACCCUAUAGAAUUUAAUAUUUGGUUUGGUAUGAAAUUAUUGGUAGUUUAAACUUUUUAUUAAACUAAUUAUUUAGUUGGGGCGAUUGAAAAAUUAAAUUAACUUUUUUUUAUUAAUUUCAUUAAUUUAUGUUUAGUUGAUCCGUUAUUUACGAUUAUAAGAUAAAAUUACCUUAGGGAUAACAGCGUAAUUUUUCUUUAGAGUUCAUAUCGAAAGAAGAGUUUGCGACCUCGAUGUUGGAUUAAAAUUAACUUUUGGUGCAGGAGCUAAAAAGUUAGGUCUGUUCGACCUUU